GAUGAACGCUGGCGGCGUGCUUAACACAUGCAAGUCGAACGAAGCACCUGGUCACGAUCCCUUCGGGGUGACGACCUUGUGACUGAGUGGCGGACGGGUGAGUAACGCGUGGGAAACCUGCCAUGUACUGGGGGAUAACAGUUGGAAACGACUGCUAAUACCGCAUAAAACUGUCGGAUCGCAUGAUCUGAUAGCCAAAACUCCGGUGGUACAUGAUGGUCCCGCGUCUGAUUAGGCAGUUGGCGGGGUAACGGCCCACCAAACCGACGAUCAGUAGCCGACCUGAGAGGGUGACCGGCCACAUUGGGACUGAGACACGGCCCAGACUCCUACGGGAGGCAGCAGUGGGGAAUAUUGCACAAUGGAGGAAACUCUGAUGCAGCGACGCCGCGUGAGCGAUGAAGUAUUUCGGUAUGUAAAGCUCUAUCAGCAGGGAAGAUAAUGACAGUAC
This 451-nucleotide ribosomal RNA is filed under the name bacterium ND2013. RNAcentral's name for it is "bacterial SSU rRNA". It matches the Rfam family "Bacterial small subunit ribosomal RNA", at positions 28 to 478 of the family's 1533-position model. The record is from RNAcentral.